RNAcentral lists this ribosomal RNA (479 nucleotides) under uncultured bacterium. RNAcentral describes it as "partial 16S ribosomal RNA". It matches the Rfam family "Bacterial small subunit ribosomal RNA", at positions 355 to 829 of the family's 1533-position model. The record is from RNAcentral.
UAGGGAAUCUUCGGCAAUGGGGGCAACCCUGACCGAGCAACGCCGCGUGAGUGAAGAAGGUUUUCGGAUCGUAAAGCUCUGUUGUAAGUCAAGAACGGGUGUGAGAGUGGAAAGUUCACACUGUGACGGUAGCUUACCAGAAAGGGACGGCUAACUACGUGCCAGCAGCCGCGGUAAUACGUAGGUCCCGAGCGUUGUCCGGAUUUAUUGGGCGUAAAGCGAGCGCAGGCGGUUUGAUAAGUCUGAAGUUAAAGGCUGUGGCUCAACCAUAGUCGCUUGGAAACUGUCAACUUGAGUGCAGAAGGGGAGAGUGGAAUUCCAUGUGUAGCGGUGAAAUGCGUAGAUAUAUGGAGGAACACCGGUGGUGAAAGCGGCUCUCUGGUCUGUAACUGACGCUGAGGCUCGAAAGCGUGGGGAGCGAACAGGAUUAGAUACCCUGGUAGUCCACGCCGUAAACGAUGAGUGCUAGGUGUUGGAUC